UACGUAGGGUGCAAGCGUUGUCCGGAAUUAUUGGGCGUAAAGAGCUCGUAGGCGGUCUGUCGCGUCGGCUGUGAAAACCCGAGGCUCAACCUCGGGCCUGCAGUCGAUACGGGCAAACUAGAGUACUGCAGGGGAGACUGGAAUUCCUGGUGUAGCGGUGAAAUGCGCAGAUAUCAGGAGGAACACCGGUGGCGAAGGCGGGUCUCUGGGCCAACACUGACGCUGAUGCGCGAAAGCUAGGGUAGCAAACGGG
Molecule: ribosomal RNA, 253 nt
Filed under: uncultured bacterium
Lineage: Bacteria
Description: partial 16S ribosomal RNA
Rfam family: Bacterial small subunit ribosomal RNA
Source: RNAcentral